This 253-nucleotide ribosomal RNA is filed under the name uncultured bacterium. RNAcentral's name for it is "partial 16S ribosomal RNA". It matches the Rfam family "Bacterial small subunit ribosomal RNA", at positions 524 to 776 of the family's 1533-position model. The record is from RNAcentral.
GACAGAGGUGGCAAGCGUUGUUCGGAUUUAUUGGGUGUAAAGGGUCCGUAGGCGGUCUAGCAAGUCUGGUGUGAAAUCCCAUGGCUCAACCGUGGAACUGCAUUGGAAACUGCUUGACUUGAGUAUCGAAGAGGUAAAGGGAAUUCCCGGUGUAAGGGUGAAAUCUGUAGAUAUCGGGAGGAACACCAGUGGCGAAGGCGCUUUACUGGUCGAUUACUGACGCUGAGGGACGAAAGCAAGGGGAGCAAACAGG